RNAcentral lists this long non-coding RNA (1242 nucleotides) under Sus scrofa (pig). RNAcentral's name for it is "lncRNA (ENSSSCG00065007267.1)". Lineage: Eukaryota; Metazoa; Chordata; Mammalia; Artiodactyla; Suidae. The record is from RNAcentral.
GGUGAUUGGAGGAACAAUUGGAUCAUAGGCUUGAUAUGAUGAAUAAAUAAAUGGCCUGGUGACAUUUGGAGUGGCAGCCUUCCAGAUCUGCAAUUGCCAUAAAACUGAAGGGACAAAUAAUGAACCUGGGGUGGAAACACUGGGUUUAGGGACCAUAGAUUUGAUAUUACCUCACCAUCUGAUCAUCAGCCUUGAUUUUCCUCUCUUGGCUGCAUGCAGGGGCUAAAUGCCAGUUCCUUAUCAACUUCAUAAUAGAGACAAGAAGGUGAUGCUUGGAAAGUCCACCAAAGUUUAUGAAGCCUGCAGCAACCGAUAUGCUUAACCUGUACUGUAAUCUUGUUGUUCCAAGUGUCCUUUUAUUAUUAUUAUAAUUAUUAUUUGCUUUUGCUUUUUGGGGGGCUAUACCUGGCAUGUGGAAGUUCCCAGGCUAGGGGUCCAAUUGGAGCUGUAGCUGCUAGCCUACGCCACAGCCACAGCAAUGCGGGAUCCAAGCCUCAUCUGUGACCUACACCAGAGCUCACGGCAAUGCCAGAUCCUUAAUUCAUUGAAUGUGACCAGGGAUCAAACCCUAGAAUUCCCCAAAUGUCCUUAUAACUUAAAAAAGAAAGGAAAAGAAAAAAGAAUAAUCUCAUCUUCUUAGGCCAAUGGAGAUGAUCACUUUUGCUUUGAAUAUGUCAACAAAGGAGCAAGUCAGACCAAGGGAGGAGACCCUGGAGUUCCUGUCGUGGCACAGUAGUUAACGAAUUCAACUAGGAACCAUGAGGUUGCAGGUUCGAUCCCUGGCCUUGCUCAGUGGGUCGAGGAUCCAGCGUUGCCGUGAGCUGUGGUGUAGGUUGCAGACGCGGCUCGGAUCCUGUGUUGCUGUGGCUCUGGCGUAGGCCGGUGGCUAUGGCUCCAAUUAGACCCCUAGCCCAGGAAUCUCAUAUGCCUCAGGAGCGGCCCUCAAAAAAAAAAAAAAAAAAAAAGAGAGGAGACCUUAUGGUCUGAAAAGGAAAAUGAGAACCUUAUUCCUCUUCUAGGAAGAAUUUAAGAAAGAUGAUUUUUUUUUAAUAAUUUUUUUUUUAUUUUCCCACUGUACAGCAAGGGGGUCAGGUUAUCCUUACAUGUAUACAUUACAAUUACAUUUUUCCCCCACCCUUUCUUCUGUUGCAACAUGAGUAUCUAGACAAAGUUCUCAAUGCUAUUCAGCAGGAUCUCCUUGUAAAUCUAUUCUUUUUUUUUUUUUUAAAUCUAUUCUAAGUU